UGGGGAAUAUUGCACAAUGGGCGCAAGCCUGAUGCAGCCAUGCCGCGUGUGUGAAGAAGGCCUUCGGGUUGUAAAGCACUUUCAGCGGGGAGGAAGGCGUUAAGGUUAAUAACCUUGGCGAUUGACGUUACCCGCAGAAGAAUCACCGGCUAACUCCGUGCCAGCAGCCGCGGUAAUACGGAGGGUGCAAGCGUUAAUCGGAAUUACUGGGCGUAAAGCGCACGCAGGCGGUCUGUCAAGUCGGAUGUGAAAUCCCCGGGCUCAACCUGGGAACUGCAUUCGAAACUGGCAGGCUAGAGUCUUGUAGAGGGGGGUAGAAUUCCAGGUGUAGCGGUGAAAUGCGUAGAGAUCUGGAGGAAUACCGGUGGCGAAGGCGGCCCCCUGGACGAAGACUGACGCUCAGGUGCGAAAGCGUGGGGAGCAAACAGG
This 429-nucleotide ribosomal RNA is filed under the name Chloroflexota bacterium. Its description in RNAcentral is "Chloroflexi bacterium partial 16S ribosomal RNA". It matches the Rfam family "Bacterial small subunit ribosomal RNA", at positions 355 to 776 of the family's 1533-position model. Lineage: Bacteria; Bacillati; Chloroflexota. The record is from RNAcentral.